CAGCAGCCGCGGUAACACGGAGGGGGCUAGCGUUGUUCGGAAUUACUGGGCGUAAAGCGCACGUAGGCGGCUUGGUAAGUUAGAGGUGAAAGCCUGGAGCUCAACUCCAGAAUUGCCUUUAAGACUGCCGAGCUAGCAGGUGAGAGAGGUAAGUGGAAUUCCGAGUGUAGAGGUGAAAUUCGUAGAUAUUCGGAAGAACACCAGUGGCGAAGGCGGCUUACUGGCUCAUACUGGACGCUGAGGUGCGAAAGCGUGGGGAGCAAACAGGAUUAGAUACCCCUGUAGUCCCUGUCUCUUAUAC
This 301-nucleotide ribosomal RNA is filed under the name uncultured bacterium. Its description in RNAcentral is "partial 16S ribosomal RNA". It matches the Rfam family "Bacterial small subunit ribosomal RNA", at positions 509 to 807 of the family's 1533-position model. The record is from RNAcentral.